RNAcentral lists this long non-coding RNA (4180 nucleotides) under Sus scrofa (pig). Its description in RNAcentral is "lncRNA (ENSSSCG00000058628.1)". The record is from RNAcentral. Lineage: Eukaryota; Metazoa; Chordata; Mammalia; Artiodactyla; Suidae.
AAAGUGAAAACAUUAAAAAAUCCACAAUAAAAAGACAUUGCUAUUUCUCUGUUUUCUUUGAAAAGAAUAUAGCCAAAGAUACCUGUUCAGUAAUGAGUCAUUUCAGUCAGAGUGAUUGUACCGGUUGCUCAUUCACUCAGUGGUUGUGUAAGGGUUGUGAGUAGAGAUUGCAUUUUGUGUGACUAUCUUCCAGGACCUGAUUUUUGUCGGUAUGCUCAUCCUUUCCCCCACUUCCUGGGAACUCAGAUCCCCUCACUUUUAGGGCAACCUAUACUUACUCUGUCUUGCGGGAGAUGCCAUAGCCUCUCCCUGUGAGCCUGUUUUUCCAACUUCACUCAUACGAGACAUUUUCCUACCAGAUUUCUUCUCAAGAUCUAGGCCCAUUUUUUUGCUCCUUGCUCAGAAGUUAUUAAUAUACAUACCUUUGGCUCCACUAUAUAAUAUUGCUUUGUCCCAAGUCAGCCCAUACUCUGUCGAGGAAGGAUUCCCUAAUUUAAGAACUCAGAUCCACUAAACCAUCCAGCUCUGCUUUUAAUGGCCCUGUGGGAACAGGUUAAAUGCUUUUGCUAACAUAGUUGUCAAGAAAUCAUGUUUGGAACCUAGACUAAGAAACAGGCAUCAAGAUCUACAGCUGGGGUCCUGUACCUCCAGACCAAGAUCAGCAGAGCCAAAAAGUUCAACAUCUCAUCAAGGGUCCACCAGUCUUCCAGUUUUUAAAUGAUUCUGAGAAAGAUAAAUAGAUUUGGAGAACUGCCUGGACACUACUCUUAGAUAACUACAUCAGCCCCUUUUUAUUAUUUAUAUCAGAUAGAUAUAAAUAUAAAUGAAUCUCAAGCAAGCAAGGGAAAUAUUAUCUCAAGUUCACUGGAAAGGGCUCAGGCUGUGGAGUUACUGGGGGAUGCUGGACCAGAGAUGAGCUCUCUCAGAGGCCAGUGACCAGGCCAGGCCACAAGAGCCAUCUGACCUAUGCAAGACAGUACAAAGACGCUUGGGGGACACUAAAGAGCUAUCCCCCUUACGGCAUGACUUACUCAGAGGACAUAAUCCAGACAGAUUUACAUGAGCAGUUCAUGCCAGUGGAGAACCUCAGUACAAAAAAAUUUGGUUUUGCCUAUAGUCUUUAUUGAUACAUCUCAGUUAGCACUUCCUUCUGACUUGGUACUACUAACAUGUUCACAAGUGUCCCUACGCUACUAGCUUCCACCUACAAGUUAUUAUCUUCCAAAUUUUAACCAAUUAUUCCAAAUCAGAAUCUUUAUUCUAGAAAAACUUUUAAGAUGUUUAUGCCAUUUUUUUUUUAAGCCUGGCACAAUAAUACCAGAUCUGCAUCUAGAACAGUGACAUGCAGUUGGCAGGGCCCAAGCCCUGGACUUGAUGGUCCAAAGAGCACAGAGGCCUCAACAAAAGCAUCCACUGUCAUAAUGCUUUGUAUAUGCCCUUCCCAUCUUUCUCCAUGCACAUAUAUUUCUGUAUGUGUGGCACUGUUAUCUGUAAAUUAAAAGACUGGCAGCAACCUCAAUGUCCAAGGUUAGGGAAAUUUUCAUCUAUUCUCUAUUACAGCCAAUUGCUGGGAUAUUUUGCAGCUAUUUUAAUGAUCUUUAUAAUAUUAUGUAGUAAUGCAGGAAAAGAAUUCAAAUGUACAUUUAAGUGAAAAGGUAAAGAUACAAAAUUAUUUGUAUGCUUUAACAACUUAUAUAAAAAUAAAUGUACAUAGUGGGAAGGGAGACCAGAAGAACAUUUGCAAACCCGAUUAAUGGCUCAUGUUCUGGGGUAGUUGAUUAUGGGUAAUUUCCUUCUUAUUUUUAUUUAUUUAUUUUUUUUGCUUUUUAGAGCUGCAUCUGCAGCAUAUGGAAGUUCCCAGGCUAGGGGUCGAAUCAGAGCUACAGCUGCCAGCCUAUGCCAUAGCCCCAGCAAUGCAGGAUCCAAGCCAAGUCUGUGACCUACACCACAGCUCAUGGCAACACCAGAUCCCUGACCCACUAAGCAAGGCCAGGGAUCCAACCCCCAUCCUCAUGGAUACUAGCUGGAUUCGUUUCCACUAGGCAGCAUUGAGAACUCUGUAAUUUCCUUCUUACUUUUAAGUUUCUCUAGCAUUGCUACAUUGUUUUUACACAAAAUUAAGUAUAUUAUACAUAUACACAUGCAUGCUUCUUCUAAGACAAAGUUUAGGACUUUGCCAGGUCUUGGAUUUUAAUAUUACCACUUAGAAAAUAUAACUAAUAAAAGUUCUUAUUCAAAUGGGUUUAACGUGAGGGAAUCUAUUGGGAUAUAUCAUCAGAAAGUUCAGAGGUUGGACCAUCCCUCAGGGUGAACUGUUCCAGAGAUUCGUGGGGUCCUCAGUGCUGGGGUUCCAUUUCUCUUGACUCUGCCUUGCUGCAUAGACCAGCCUUUUUGUCACACUUCUUCCCUCCUGACAGAAUAGCAGCAGCAGCUCUAUAUUGAGAAAGAGCAAGGUCAACUCUUCCCCAAACCAUCAAACAGAAGUCUUUGCUUCACUCUGAUUGGACCAGUGUGGACCAGGGGACUGCUACAUGGGCUUAAGGUUAAAUUAUGCCCAGUGUACACCAAUCUGCAGUAAGCUAGUUACAGUUCACAAAUAUUUGCUGCCUUUACCUGUGAGAGGAUUAUAUGUCCCCACCUCACUGAUGUUAUAUUUGGCCAUAACUUGCUCUGGACAUGGAAAUAUAAAAUAUCAGUAUUCAAAACCAAGACGUGACAUAGCUGUUUAACGCUGCCGCUGGUUGCACUGAAACCAUUUUGUUCCUCUGCCAAGUAGAAGCGUUCAGAGCUAGUGUGUGGUUUGCAGCACUAUUCCCCCCUCCCCUACCACUGCUGGCAAGAUUCCAAACAGAGGCUUCACUACCAGCUGGGGUUAGAGAAUGAAGACAAAACACAGUAGAGCCACAGACAAACCAAGGUGCACAUGUAGUAUGAGCUGCACCUUUGUUAUUAGCUGUGAGACUUGGGGGUUUUUUGUUACUGAAUAUAACCUAGCCUUUCCUGACUGGGCUUGGGUCCUGGCUUGGCCAUUUCCAAGUUAUGUAACCUUGCACAAGUUGUUUCAUUUAUCUAUACUUAUUUUCUUUAUUGUAAAAUUCCUGGUACAAACUCAGAAGUUACAGCUGUUAUUUGUUGCUAAUAAGAAUUAUAAUUCUUGGAGUUUCUGUAGUGGCUCAGCAGCAAUGAACCUGACUAGCAUCCAUGAGGAUGUGGGUUUGAUACCUGAUCUUGUUCAGUGGUUUAAGGAUCCAUUGUUGCUGUGAGCUGUGGUGUGGGUCACAGACGUGACUCGGAUCCAGUGGUUUUGUGACGGUGACAUAGACUAGCAGCUAUAGCUCGGAUUCCACCCCUAGCUUGGGAAUUUCCAUAUGCCACACCAGUGUGGCCCUAGGAAAAAAAAAUUAUAAUUCUUACUCUCAUGGGGGAUUUUCCUCUAAUUUACCUCAGUGAUUUGCAGUGGGGGAAAAAGUGCAGCUAUCUGAAAGUGGAGGUAUAUUAUAUUUCUUUGCCUUUGUAAAACAAAGGCAAACUUACAGACCCAAAGUCUCAAUAUAUAUACUGAUCAUGGUAGAUAGAAUAAGAAAUUCUUCCUCAAGAUAUAAAUAUUAGUUCCUUGGAAUUCUCUUAUUUUUUUUUUUUAGGAAUAAAAAAAGAUUAACCCAAAAUUUCAUAUGGGAAAAAUGCUUUUCACAUUCAAUACCAAAAUGUGAUAAAACUAUUCAGCAGUACAAUUGGCUUCACUGAAGUAAUUUUGUUCCUUCUUUGAGUUAUCUAUUAUUGAAGAUAGUCAGGCAACAGAUAUUGAAAUAAAUGAUUUUUUUAUUCCAUUGUGAAAACUCUUGUGUUCCCAGCACCCCUUUCCACAAAGUGAUGUAUUCUUUUGUGUGUAUGAGAGGGAGAUUAUAGUCAGAGGAAUGCAAUUUAGAAGUAAAAUUUCCACUUUUCUUUUUUUAAUUGAGAUUGCAAUUAUAUCUCGAUUUGAAUCUAAGUUGACUUGAUUUUGUAAUCAAUAAUUAUUUUACAUUAUAGAACACAUUUUCUAUCUCAGACAUCCAUCACUGACAUCUGAUAUCUGGUACUUUUUUUUCAGAUAAUGUAGAUUUUAUCUUGCUUAGUUUUCUGGGACCUGGUAAUUAAGAUAUGAGACAAUUAUUUGUCCCUUUAGAUUAAAAAUAUGUUC